RNAcentral lists this ribosomal RNA (305 nucleotides) under uncultured bacterium. Its description in RNAcentral is "bacterial SSU rRNA". It matches the Rfam family "Bacterial small subunit ribosomal RNA", at positions 337 to 658 of the family's 1533-position model. The record is from RNAcentral.
GCCUACGGGAGGCAGCAGUGGGGGAUAUUGCACAAUGGGGGAAACCCUGAUGCAGCGACGCCGCGUGGGUGAAGAAGCGCCUCGGCGCGUAAAGCCCUGUCAGCAGGGAAGAAAAUGACGGUACCUGAAGAAGAAGCCCCGGCUAACUACGUGCCAGCAGCCGCGGUAAAACGUAGGGGGCGAGCGUUGUCCGGAAUGACUGGGCGUAAAGGGUGCGUAGGCGGCAUAAUAAGUUAGAAGUGAAAUACCCAGAGCUUAACUCGGGUGCUGCUUCUAAGACUGUUGAGCUUGAGUGCGGGAGAGGU